UGAGUAUGCCAGGCGGCCGCGCGAGUGACAACUCUCGAGGAACGUCCGGGCUCCGUAGGGAGCAGUGGUGGGUAACGCCCACUCGGGGUGACCCGCAGGAAAGUGCAACAGAAAUAAAACCGCCGCAAGGUAAGGGUGAAAUGGUGAGGUAAGAGCUCACCGCGAGCAUGGUGACAUGCUUGGCAUGUGUAAACCCCACUGGGAGCAAGGCCAAACAGUGUGCGUCGAGGCGUCCCGCUGAGCACACGGGUGGGCUGCUUGAGGCGUACGGCAACGUACGUCCUAGAUGGAUGGUCGCCUCUAGCGAAUCGCUAGAACAGAACCCGGCGUAUCGGCAUGGUCACAAA
RNAcentral lists this RNase P RNA (347 nucleotides) under Arcanobacterium canis. RNAcentral's name for it is "RNase P RNA component class A". It matches the Rfam family "Bacterial RNase P class A". Rfam says of the family: Ribonuclease P (RNase P) is a ubiquitous endoribonuclease, found in archaea, bacteria and eukarya as well as chloroplasts and mitochondria. Its best characterised activity is the generation of mature 5'-ends of tRNAs by cleaving the 5'-leader elements of precursor-tRNAs. The record is from RNAcentral. Lineage: Bacteria; Bacillati; Actinomycetota; Actinomycetes; Actinomycetales; Actinomycetaceae.